RNAcentral lists this long non-coding RNA (3379 nucleotides) under Podarcis lilfordi (Lilford's wall lizard). The record is from RNAcentral. Lineage: Eukaryota; Metazoa; Chordata; Lepidosauria; Squamata; Lacertidae.
CAGGAUGUUUAACAAACUUAAAGAAAUCCUCACAUAUAGCAAAUAGAUUUUCCACAUGCCCUGUGCUUGGAAUAUCCACCCAGUAAUGAGUUUAAUCAGAAUUUCUUCUAUAUAUUAUACUGAGAUGGAUCUAUUUUGUUGACAUGUCCAGCAUAUAAUUAUAUUUUAAGUCAAAAAUAAUAAUCUCAUUUCUGUAUGAUCAGUUGAUAUAGCCAAGUUAUAUUAGGAUCUGAGUCUUACAGUCAAGAAAUUUAUGAGAGUUCAUCUCCAGUGUGGUAAAAGGCAGGCUUCCAAUUCCGAGCUGUGUACGUAAGUCUUUGAGGGACAUGGUUUUACUACAAUAAAGGUCCAUUUUCAGUGGUGAGGUAGAAGCUUAUAGGAUACUUGCUCUUAAUUUAUAUUCUGACCAAGAUUUCUCAGUGGGGAACCAGUGGGUGCUUCAAGACUGUCAGUAUUUUUCAGGUGGGAUUCAACCACAACCUGGCAAAUUGAGGCUGUGUAAUUAAAGUCGAUCUGCAGUUCUUGCAAAACAAACGCGUUUCCCCAAAAGAGAAGAUUUAUUAUUAUUAUUAUUAUUAUUAUUAUUAUUAUUAUUAUUAUUUUGCAAUAAGCGGUGGAAAAACACACUGGAAAGUGUGGCAUAUUGCUUAACGCAACACCAUCCUAUCUCCCUGUAAACAAAUCAGGAUGAAUGCUAAUUAAAUUGCCAUAGUUUUCUAAUCUUGCUGCAAAUUCGGCCGAAUGCUCAUUAAAUAGGUCAUCUGGAAAUGACCCAAAUCUCUUAAAGUAUUGCUUUAAUAAAAGAAGGGUGUGCUAACACCUGCUCAAUUGCCCUUUACCUAGAUCUUUAUGGAAAUUUCAUGCACUUCUUAAGUACCUUAGCGCAAAGUCAAAAGCACAGGAAGAAAUGUCUCCAAAAGACACUAAAUCACAUUUGGUUAUUCCUGCACAAACCAUGCCACUAAAAAAGUUAUUAGAUCUGCAAUGUCGGUCAAAAUGGACUAUUAUGAAUUAUAUUAACUACUGCUGCUACUACUACUACAUAGAUUCAUAUAGCUGCCCAGUAAAUUCCAAAAAUGAUAUACAAUAAGAAUGAAAAACAACAACAAUAAGCAAUAAAUGACAGCAAAAUACUUCAUUGCAUAAAGGCUGCACAUUUACAGUUUGGGUUAAAAACAGUUUUAAAAGUCUGGGUAAUUUUUUUUUAAUUCCCUAGCAUUAAAAAAAAAGUGCAUAAAAAUGGAACUAGAUGGAAAAGUUGCUCCAGUCAAGGGGCCACUGCUAAAAAGGCCUUUGCUGUGGCACCCAGAGCAGGGCCUCUAAAGAGGAUCUUAAACUUCAGGUAACUGAUCCCAGAUCUUACAUGCAGGCAGGGGUGCCAACCUAAAUAAAAUAUUGGGGAGGCAGGUAAGGCCCGCCCCACAUAAUCACAUGAUGCGGUGCAUUCACACCAUUUGAAUGGCAAUGCCCAUCAACACUGGGGGGCCCAGCACCUUCAAAUAUUUAAUGGGGGGGGAGCUGUAGACCCCUCGGCCCCUAGGAGUUGGCUCCUAUGUAUGCAGGUACCAAACUCCACCAUACUGUGGGGGAUCAGGAUGCCAUGUUGAAGAGGGAACCAGAGAUGCUGUGACUCAGAUAAGUCAUGCAUCUGAACUCAGGAUAAUUGUUCACUUGGAUAUGGGAGUUGUUUGUAGGGUCAGGGUUUGCCAACUCUCCAUAUCCAGGGAGCUGAGUUGCAAGCUUGAGGUUGAGCCUUUUCUCCAGGCUGUUCUUUAUUUCUUUAAUUACGCUAAUGGCAAAUUGGGAAGGGGCCUGCUCUUGCACUCAGGAUUCUCUGCCAAAGCAUUUCCCCAAUGCAUCAAUUAAAUUUGCACUUAAGUGAAUUUCAACAGGGCCCUGAGCAAGGUUUGCGGAAUGGAGCCCUUGGUAAUGCUCAAUGCUAAUGAGGUAUUUACCUCAGAGUUACAAGCCAUUAUUACCCUGCUUCCCUGAGUGAUCAGGAGGGCUUCAGUCAUUUUGUAGGGUGACCUGUUCCAAUAUAAAGAAGAGGGUGGGAUGUGCUACCAAAUAAAAUUUUAACUCAUGGGUCACCAAGACCCAUUCUUCAAAGUAUCUUAGUUUGUGGCUGAUGACAAAUAUAAGAUGCCAUCUGCAGGGUUUUGUUUUUUUCCUGUGCAGAGGAGAUUUUUUUUAAAAAGCCUUGCUGAUCAGCAUAUUCAGAGCCUGUGCUUGCGGUUGUGACCUAAGGAUGUCUCUGGGCCUGGGAUGUUAUUGGCCGCGCUUCUGAGAGAACAGGGGAAGCAGGGAGGGUUCCCAAGGGACUUAGUCAUACUCCUGAAAAUAGGCACCACUGUGGUCUUCCCUUUGGAUACUCUUGUGGUUUCUCGUAUGUUUAUUUUCCUGGGAUUACCUCAACAGUGGCAAUACUUCAGUAUAAAAAUAGGCUAAACUUUUUUCUUUCUUUUUUCAUCCAGCUGAAUCUAGCCAAAUUCACUAGUAUCAAAGAUGCCCUAGGAGAGCACUUGCUUAAAUUUGUGAAUGCAUGUCAGCCCUUCGUAGGUGCCUAUUUAAUUUUGCAAUGCGAGCUGAUGCCUUCUUCGGUUUUACUAUAAAAAUAAAAAUCCCUUUCACUCUAAAGCCUCAUCUGCACUAUACAAUUAAAGUUGUGACAGGCCACUUUAGUAGCCGUGGCUCCCUCCAAAGAAUCCUGGGAGCCGUAGUUCGUUAAGGGUGCUGCGAGUUGUUAGGAAACCGCUAUAGCCCUGCUAUAGCCUUCACAGAGCUACUCUCAAAGUAAUCACACACAUCCUCUUCCCAGGGAGUUCUGAGGGCCAGAAAGCCACACACACCCCGGAAGGCCACAUUCAGUCUGUGGGUCAGCGGUUCCCUGAUUUACCACACUAUUUGUUUUCUUAUUCUGUGCAUAAGAAUGAAUAUCAGGUCAUUUUACUUUCAAGAGAGAAACUCUAACAGAUAGCGUCAACGUGGCAUGCAAAUACAGGAGUUCACAGUGUUCUUUUUCAAUGAAAAGCAGCCUGGGAGGCUGAAACACAGGGUUCCUCUGGGGUAUUUACAAGGAGAAACCUGCAUCUGAAAUAGCUUUCCCCAACUUUGCGCUGGCUGGGGUUGAUGAGGGUUGUGGUUCAAAUUAUCUGGAGGGCUCUAGAUUGACUGAUCUAGAACCCUGGAGUGGGAGCAAACUUGGGAGUGAUUUUAAGCAGAAAAAAUAACCAGCAGAGGAAAUGUUUAAAAAGACUCUCACCUGCUACAGCCUCCCAAGGCUGCUAUUCAUUGAAAAAGAACAUAAUCUGGGCUUCAUCACUUGCAUGUAAUUACUCGUUCGACUCUCAACUUUCUUUCAUGUUUAUUAUGAAGUUUU